GGAAGGAAGGAAGGGAGGGAGGGAGAGAGGAAGGAAAAUGAUAGCAUUCCUUUCUUUUCUCUCUGCCACACCAACCUGAAUAGGCUACCCCUGAGGCACUAUUCAAAAUAUCACCAAGAGUGUCCUGAAGUGCAGCAUAUACCAUGAAAGCCUGCAACCUGGACUAUAAGAUAAGUUAGUAGGCAAGAGUAUGAAUUAAUGAAAGAAUAAAAACAGUGGGCCUAGUCUAGAUUGACAAAGUGCCAGCUGUUUCAAUAAACCACAGUUUUGGCUGAAAUGGAGAAGAGGCAGGAGAUAGAAACAGGAGGAAAGGAAGCAACAUCAGCAUGCCACCGUCAUGAACAAUCCACCAUAUAUCUAUGUUGCCCUCACUAAAACGUUCCUGAUUCAUUGGAAACAAGUCUAUGUUUUUAGCAACUAGUAGAGCUUGCUGUGCAGCUGUUGUUUCUCGUACAGUGUC
Molecule: non-coding RNA, 460 nt
Organism: Pantherophis guttatus
Lineage: Eukaryota; Metazoa; Chordata; Lepidosauria; Squamata; Colubridae
Source: RefSeq, a predicted model, not a curated record